RNAcentral lists this ribosomal RNA (467 nucleotides) under uncultured bacterium. RNAcentral's name for it is "bacterial SSU rRNA". It matches the Rfam family "Bacterial small subunit ribosomal RNA", at positions 338 to 796 of the family's 1533-position model. The record is from RNAcentral.
CCUACGGGGGGCAGCAGUGAGGAAUCUUGCGCAAUGGGGGAAACCCUGACGCAGCAACGCCGUGUGAGUGAUGAAGGCUUUCGAGUCGUAAAGCUCUGUCAAGUGGGAAGAACCUGCCUGAUGCUAAUACCAUCAGGCACUGACGGUACCACUGGAGGAAGCACCGGCUAACUCCGUGCCAGCAGCCGCGGUAAGACGGAGGGUGCAAGCGUUAUUCGGAAUUACUGGGCGUAAAGGGCGCGUAGGCGGCACUUUAAGUCAGGCGUGAAAGCCCGGGGCUCAACCCCGGAAGUGCGUUUGAAACUGAAGAGCUUGAGUACGGGGGAGGGAAGUGGAAUUCCUGGUGUAGAGGUGAAAUUCGUAGAUAUCAGGAGGAACACCGGUGGCGAAGGCGACUUCCUGGACCGAUACUGACGCUGAGGCGCGAAAGCGUGGGGAGCAAACAGGAUUAGAUACCCCAGUAGUCC